AGUGGCGGACGGGUGAGUAACACGUGAUCAACGUACCCUCAGGACUGGGAUAACCACUCGAAAGGGUGGAUAAUACCAGAUACUACCACCGCAUCGCAUGGUGUAUGGUGAAAGAACUUCGCCUGGGGAGCGGAUCGCGGCUAUCAGCUUGUUGGUGGGGUAACGCUACCAAGGCGACACGGUACCGGCCUGAAGGUGGGCGGCACACUGGACUGAACACGCCAACUCCUACGAGCAGCAGUGCUGAAUCAUUCACAAUGGGCAAGCCUGAUGAUGUGACCCGCGUGGAGGAUGAAGCCCUCGGGUUGUAAACUCCUGUCAGGGAUUAGGAAUAAUGACCAAUCCCAGAGGAAGCACCGGCUAAAUUCGUGCCAGCAGCCGCGGUAACACGAAUGGUGCAAGCGCUGUUCGGAAUCACUGGGCAUAAAGGGUGCGUAGGCGGCGCGGCAAGUCGGCUGUGAAAGCCCCCGGCUCAACCGGGGAAUUGCAACCGAUACUGCCGUGCUUGAGGGCGCGAGGGGUGAGCGGAAUUCCAGGUGUAGCGGUGAAAUGCGUAGAUAUCUGGGAGAACGCCGGAGGCGAAGGCGGCUCACUGGCGCGUACCUGACGCUGAGGCACGAAAGCGUGGGGAGCAAACAGGAUUAGAUACCCUGGCUAGUCCACGCAGUAAACGAUGGGUACUAGGUAGAGGGGGACACCGAUCCACUCUCUGCCGGAGCAAAUGCGUUAAGUAAACCCCC
Molecule: ribosomal RNA, 740 nt
Filed under: uncultured organism
Description: bacterial SSU rRNA
Rfam family: Bacterial small subunit ribosomal RNA
Source: RNAcentral